AUUGAACGCUGGCGGCAGGCCUAACACAUGCAAGUCGAGCGGAUGAAGGGAGCUUGCUCCUGGAUUCAGCGGCGGACGGGUGAGUAAUGCCUAGGAAUCUGCCUGGUAGUGGGGGAUAACGUCCGGAAACGGGCGCUAAUACCGCAUACAUCCUGAGGGAGAAAGUGGGGGAUCUUCGGACCUCACGCUAUCAGAUGAGCCUAGGUCGGAUUAGCUAGUUGGUGGGGUAAAGGCCUACCAAGGCGACGAUCCGUAACUGGUCUGAGAGGAUGAUCAGUCACACUGGAACUGAGACACGGUCCAGACUCCUACGGGAGGCAGCAGUGGGGAAUAUUGGACAAUGGGCGAAAGCCUGAUCCAGCCAUGCCGCGUGUGUUAAGAAGGUCUUCGGAUUGUAAAGCACUUUAAGUUGGGAGGAAGGGCAGUAAGUUAAUACCUUGCUGUUUUGACGUUACCAACAGAAUAAGCACCGGCUAACUUCGUG
Molecule: ribosomal RNA, 484 nt
Filed under: uncultured bacterium
Lineage: Bacteria
Description: partial 16S ribosomal RNA
Rfam family: Bacterial small subunit ribosomal RNA
Source: RNAcentral